Molecule: ribosomal RNA, 395 nt
Filed under: bacterium enrichment culture
Lineage: Bacteria
Description: bacterial SSU rRNA
Rfam family: Bacterial small subunit ribosomal RNA
Source: RNAcentral
UAAUACGUAGGGUGCGAGCGUUAAUCGGAAUUACUGGGCGUAAAGCGUGCGCAGGCGGUUCGCUAAGACCGAUGUGAAAUCCCCGGGCUUAACCUGGGAACUGCAUUGGUGACUGGCGAGCUAGAGUGUGGCAGAGGGGGGUAGAAUUCCACGUGUAGCAGUGAAAUGCGUAGAGAUGUGGAGGAAUACCGAUGGCGAAGGCAGCCCCCUGGGCUAACACUGACGCUCAUGCACGAAAGCGUGGGGAGCAAACAGGAUUAGAUACCCUGGUAGUCCACGCCCUAAACGAUGUCAACUAGUUGUUGGGGAUUCAUUUCCUUAGUAACGUAGCUAACGCGUGAAGUUGACCGCCUGGGGAGUACGGUCGCAAGAUUAAAACUCAAAUGAAUUGACGG